RNAcentral lists this ribosomal RNA (99 nucleotides) under Chinchilla lanigera (long-tailed chinchilla). The record is from RNAcentral. Lineage: Eukaryota; Metazoa; Chordata; Mammalia; Rodentia; Chinchillidae.
GUCUAUGGCCAUACCACCCUGAACGUGCCUGAUCUCAUCUGAUCUUGGAAGCUAAGCAGGAUCAGGCCUGGUUAAUACUUGGAUAGGAAGAAAUAUUUU